RNAcentral lists this ribosomal RNA (831 nucleotides) under Neolochmaea dilatipennis. Its description in RNAcentral is "eukaryotic LSU rRNA". It matches the Rfam family "Eukaryotic large subunit ribosomal RNA", at positions 386 to 948 of the family's 3401-position model. The record is from RNAcentral. Lineage: Eukaryota; Metazoa; Arthropoda; Insecta; Coleoptera; Chrysomelidae.
UAUCRGGGUAAACCUGAGAAACCCGAAAGGUCGAAAGAGGAAAUUCAUUCGCGUUUCGAUCGUCGAAAUCGAACGUUUUUAUGACGAACGAAUAUAAGUGUAUUUCGGUGCAUUUGUAUAAUCAGUUCGCGUAUUAUGUUCGAGYUUUUAUCGAUAUCGAACGCGUGCACUUUUCCUCUAGUAGGACGUCGUGAUCCGUUGGGUGUCUAUCUAAGACUCGAGAUCGAAGACCACGUGAUAUUAAUGAAAAUUAAUGAUUGCGUGGACUCUCGAUGUUCCGAUAGACUCGCUCGACGGUAUAAAUGUGGCGCGGGGCCGCUAAUUAUAUAUAAUUAGCGUUCGGUCCGUAGCAAGCACGUUUCGUGUUUGACGGUAAUCGGACCUGGUGCCGAUUCUGUCCCGGAACGACUGUUGGUUACGGUAUUUUCAUCGAACAGACCUCGAUUAUGAAACGCCGAUCGACGACGCUAUAGAUUUGGGUACUUUCAGGACCCGUCUUGAAACACGGACCAAGGAGUCUAGCAUGUGCGCGAGUCAUUGGGAUAUAACUAAACCUAAAGGCGUAAUGAAAGUAAAGGUUUGCCUUGCGUAGACCGAGGGAAGAUAAGCGAUUUGCCCUUAAAAGUGAUCGCUUCGCAUUCCCGGGGCGUCUCGUUCUCAUUACGAGAAGAGGCGCACCAAGAGCGUACACGCUGGGACCCGAAAGAUGGUGAACUAUGCCUGGUCAGGACGAAGUCAGGGGAAACCCUGAUGGAGGUCCGUAGCGAUUCUGACGUGCAAAUCGAUCGUCGGAACUGGGUAUAGGGGCGAAAGACUAAUCGAACCUCUAAU